RNAcentral lists this ribosomal RNA (533 nucleotides) under uncultured Acidobacteriota bacterium. RNAcentral describes it as "bacterial SSU rRNA". It matches the Rfam family "Bacterial small subunit ribosomal RNA", at positions 8 to 523 of the family's 1533-position model. Lineage: Bacteria; Pseudomonadati; Acidobacteriota. The record is from RNAcentral.
AGAGUUUGAUUCUGGCUCAGAAUCAACGCUGGCGGCGUGCCUAACACAUGCAAGUCGAACGCGAAAGGGGAGCAAUCCCUGAGUAGAGUGGCAAACGGGUGAGUAACACGUGGGUGACCUGCCUCAGAGUGGGGGAUAACGUCCCGAAAGGGACGCUAAUACCGCAUAACAUCCUGCCUUUGGAAAGGCGGAGAUCAAAGCCGGGGAUCGCAAGACCUGGCGCUUGGAGAGGGGCCCGCGUCUGAUUAGCUAGUUGGUAGGGUAAUGGCCUACCAAGGCAACGAUCAGUAUCCGGCCUGAGAGGGCGGACGGACACACUGGGACUGAGACACGGCCCAGACUCCUACGGGAGGCAGCAGUGGGGAAUUUUGGGCAAUGGGCGAAAGCCUGACCCAGCAACGCCGCGUGAGGGAGGAAAUCCUUCGGGAUGUAAACCUCACAAGCAAGGGAAGAGAGCUACGGGCUGAAUAAUCCCGUAGUGCGACGGUACCUUGCGUAAGCCACGGCUAACUACGUGUCAGCCGCCGCGGUAA